Molecule: ribosomal RNA, 253 nt
Filed under: uncultured bacterium
Lineage: Bacteria
Description: partial 16S ribosomal RNA
Rfam family: Bacterial small subunit ribosomal RNA
Source: RNAcentral
UACGUAGGGGGCAAGCGUUGUCCGGAUUUAUUGGGCGUAAAGCGCUCGCAGGUGGUUCGUCGCGUCGUGCGUGAAAGACCCCGGCUCAACUGGGGAGGGUCGUGCGAUACGGGCGGACUGGAGGCCAGUAGGGGGAUGCGGAAUUCCGGGUGUAGUGGUGGAAUGCGUAGAGAUCCGGAGGAACACCAGCGGCGAAGGCGGCGUCCUGGACUGGUCCUGACACUCAGGAGCGAAAGCGUGGGGAGCGAUCCGG